CCUACGGGGGGCAGCAGUGAGGAAUAUUGGUCAAUGGGCGCAAGCCUGAACCAGCCAUCCCGCGUGCAGGAAGACGGCGCUAUGCGUUGUAAACUGCUUUUCCAGGGGGAGAAACUUCCGUACGUGUACGGAAUUGACGGUACCCUGGGAAUAAGCAUCGGCUAACUCCGUGCCAGCAGCCGCGGUAAUACGGAGGAUGCAAGCGUUAUCCGGAUUCAUUGGGUUUAAAGGGUGCGUAGGCGGACUAUUAAGUCAGUGGUGAAAUCCUGCAGCUUAACUGCAGAACUGCCAUUGAUACUGAUGGUCUUGAGUUUGGUUAAGGUAGGCGGAAUGUGUAAUGUAGCGGUGAAAUGCUUAGAUAUUACACAGAACACCAAUUGCGUAGGCAGCUUACUGAGCCGACACUGACGCUGAGGCACGAAAGCGUGGGGAUCGAACAGGAUUAGAUACCCCAGUAGUC
Molecule: ribosomal RNA, 460 nt
Filed under: uncultured Bacteroidales bacterium
Lineage: Bacteria; Pseudomonadati; Bacteroidota; Bacteroidia; Bacteroidales
Description: bacterial SSU rRNA
Rfam family: Bacterial small subunit ribosomal RNA
Source: RNAcentral